Molecule: ribosomal RNA, 427 nt
Filed under: uncultured eukaryote
Lineage: Eukaryota
Description: SSU rRNA
Rfam family: Eukaryotic small subunit ribosomal RNA
Source: RNAcentral
GUUGCUGACAGUUAAAAAGACUCGUAGUUGAACUUCAUGAGCAGUAGGUAGCUUACUACCUGCUCUCUACCAGUCUUUCGACUGUUACUGUGAGAAAAUUAGAGUGUUUCAAGCAGGCUAUUGCAGGAAUACAUUAGCAUGGAAUAACGAAUGUACCUACAAUUUGGUUAAUUGUAGAUUACUAUUAAUAGGGACAGUUGGGGGCAUUAGUAUUUAAUUGUCAGAGGUGAAAUUCUUGGAUUUGUUAAAGACUAACGUAUGCGAAAGCAUUUGCCAAGGAUGUUUUCAUUAAUCAAGAACGAAAGAUAGGGGAUCAAAGACGAUCAGAUACCGUCGUAGUCCUAUCUAUAAACUAUGCCGACUAGGGAUUGGAAUGAUCUGCAUCAUUUCAGUACCUUAUGAGAAAUCAAAGUCUUUGGGUUCUGGG